UACGUAGGUGGCAAGCGAUACUCGGAAUCACUAGGCGUAAAGCGCAGGUAGGCGGUUUGGAAAGUCUCUUGUGAAAGCUCCCGGCUUAACUGGGAGAGGUCAAGGGAAACUACUAGGCUAGAGUGCGGUAGAGGUAGCUGGAAUUCCCGGUGUAGCGGUGAAAUGCGUAGAUAUCGGGAGGAAUACCUAUGGCGAAAGCAGGCUACUGGACCGUCACUGACUCUGAUCUGCGAAAGCUAGGGGAGCAAACAGG
Molecule: ribosomal RNA, 253 nt
Filed under: uncultured bacterium
Lineage: Bacteria
Description: partial 16S ribosomal RNA
Rfam family: Bacterial small subunit ribosomal RNA
Source: RNAcentral